GAAACAGUUGCUAAGACAGGAUAGGAAAUUAAGAGGCAUCUUUUAAUUUUUAAAAGACCUUUUUCGAAAGGUAUACUUAAAGAGGGGCUUGCGCCACAUUAGUUAGUUGGUAAGGUAAAGGCUUACCAAGACGAUGAUGUGUAGCUGGACUGAGAGGUCGAACAGCCACAUUGGGACUGAGACACGGCCCAAACUCCUACGGGAGGCAGCAGUAAGGAAUUUUUGGCAAUGGAGGAAACUCUGACCGAGCGACGUCGCGUGAACAAUGAAGUACUUCGGUAUGUAAAGUUCUUUUAUUGAAAAAGAAAAAAUAGUGGAAAAACUAUCUUGACAUUAUUCAAUGAAUAAGCCCCGGCUAAUUAUGUGCCAGCAGCCGCGGUAAUACAUAAGGGGCGAGCGUUAUCCGGAAUUAUUGGGCGUAAAGGGUGCGUAGGCGGUUUGAUAAGUCUAUAGUUUAAAUGCAGUGCUUAACGCUGUAGCGCUAUAGAAACUGUCUGACUAGAGUUAGAUAGAGGCAAGCGGAAUUCCAUGUGUAGCGGUAAAAUGCGUAAAUAUAUGGAGGAACACCAGAGGCGUAGGCGGCUUGCUGGGUCUUAACUGACGCUGAGGCACGAAAGCGUGGGGAGCAAACAGGAUUAGAUACCCUGGUAGUCCACGCCGUAAACGAUGAGUACUAAGUGUCGGGUUUCGGCUCGGUACUGAAGUUAACACAUUAAGUACUCCGCCUGAGUAGUACGUACGCAAGUAUGAAACUUAAAGGAAUUGACGGGACCCCGCACAAGCGGUGGAUCAUGUUGUUUAAUUCGAAGAUACACGAAAAACCCUACCAGGUCUUGACAUAAUUUUGCGACAUUAUAGAAAUAUAAUGAAGGUUAUCAGAAUUACAGGUGGUGCAUGGUUGUCGUCAGCUCGUGUCGUGAGAUGUUAGGUUAAGUCCUAAAACGAGCGCAACCCUUGUCGUUAGUUGCGACCACGUAAUGGUGAGCACUUUAGCGAGACUGCCAAUGAAAAAUUGGAGGAAGGUGAGGAUUACGUCAAAUCAUCAUGCCCCUUAUGAUCUGGGCUACAAACGUGAUACAAUGGCUGUUACAAAGAGUAGCUACAACGUGAGUUUUUAGCCAAUCUCAAAAAAACAGUCUCAGUUCGGAUUGAAGUCUGCAACUCGACUUCAUGAAGUUGGAAUCGCUAGUAAUCGCGAAUCAGCAUGUCGCGGUGAAUACGUUCUCGGGGUUUGUACACACCGCCCGUCA
Molecule: ribosomal RNA, 1250 nt
Filed under: Eggplant big bud phytoplasma
Lineage: Bacteria; Bacillati; Mycoplasmatota; Mollicutes; Acholeplasmatales; Acholeplasmataceae
Description: bacterial SSU rRNA
Rfam family: Bacterial small subunit ribosomal RNA
Source: RNAcentral